GCCCCUGUAGCUCAGUUGGUAGAGCGCUAGCUUUGUAAGCUAGUGGUCGCAGGUUCGAAUCCUGUCGGGGGCA
RNAcentral lists this transfer RNA (73 nucleotides) under bacterium. RNAcentral describes it as "tRNA-Thr". It matches the Rfam family "tRNA". Rfam says of the family: Transfer RNA (tRNA) molecules are approximately 80 nucleotides in length. Their secondary structure includes four short double-helical elements and three loops (D, anti-codon, and T loops). The record is from RNAcentral.